Apis dorsata (giant honeybee) is the source of this 693-nucleotide long non-coding RNA. RefSeq lists it as uncharacterized. The transcript has 2 exons. The record is from RefSeq and is a predicted model, not a curated record. Lineage: Eukaryota; Metazoa; Arthropoda; Insecta; Hymenoptera; Apidae.
AUAUGGAGGUGGAAUCGUUUUAAUAAAACGUAUUACGCCUUCCUUCGAGCGAGACGUCGCGUCAUCGAAAAUAUUGCUAACCCAUUGUGUGUUUUCGCGUGACGAAGGUCGCGACGCAUUUUCGUCGACGCGUUAACGCGUCAUAAUACCGGCCGAUCGUGUCUGCUGCAUACGCAGCCUGACUGAACGAAGCGUGUCGAGUGUGUUAACCGUGCCUACGUACGAAAAUAUUAUUUCGCUUUUCCAUUUGAACACGUUUCGACCUUUGAGGUGCAGCGACCAAGCUAUCGUCGUAUCGGCCUCGUCGUCAUUGAACGGGAAGAGGAUGCCAUUUUACGGCUGGCCUUGUUUCUUUUUUUCUUUUUUCCUUUUUCUUCCUUCUUCUUCUUUUUAUCAUUUCGAACCGUGUCGAAACGAUGAAUGAUUUUUGGAUCGUAAUUUCGCGGCCGUAAUCUAAGUAACGACACGCAUGAAUCAAGCAUCGUUUCACGAACGAUCGACAUUGAAAGAAAUCUGUACGAUAUUUAAUCGUAACCAUUGCCAUUCGUUCUGUUCCAGGAGAAAAAUUCAUUCCUGAAUUACAAUGUGUCCUGCAUUCUGACUCUGCCACCUUAUCAACGCCAGGGAUACGGCCGGCUGCUGAUCGACUUCAGUUACUUAUUGACCAGAGUGGAGAAAAAGAUUGGCUCCCCC